GCACGACAGGACGAGGAGGAACUGUCAGUCUGGAUAAGAGGGAUUCUUUUCUUGCUCCUGGUGACAAAGGAGAGGAAAACGUGACGACUGAGUAAUCCCCGAAAGUUGAGAAGAUGGGAAAAAUACAAGUUUUAUGAUGGAAGGAAACACUGGUAAAGGUUUGUUUCUCUGAUGAGAAAUACAGAUGGACAGACGGAAAUUUGCUAGAAGAACCAGCUUAGAGAAGGGCCUCCCCGAUUGCCAGAGAGCUCAAUUAAAACUCCCUACUCAGGUGAUGGUGAUCUCUGCCUGGAUACUGGAAGAUUUAGAGGUGAAGGGCAGCAUCAACCAAUGAUCAGUAUAACCUUUGACUUAUGGGGAGGGUGCCCCAUCAUAUGACGUUGUGCAGUUCAGGUGUGGUCGGAUAUCAGUGAAAACGGCUCCUAUCCCAGGGCGAACCCAGUCUGCCAUUGAUGAGGACACCAUCAAGUGUUAUUUUGGAAGAUCGCUAUCAGCUAGCCCAAUAUAUCAAUAUUAGUGAUGGGUCUGAAGACAAAAUCAUUCAUGACCAUCUGCCCAUGCAAAAAUUGUCUGCUCGAUGGGUUCCCAGGCUUCUCACACCUUUCCAGAGGCAGGAACGGGUCCAUUUGCCAAGAAAAGCAGGAGGACUUUUUUAACAGACUAAUUACGCAGGAUGAAAUUUAGGUCAGUCAGUAUGAUCAGAAACUAAGGGCCAGUCAAAACAAUAGAAGCACUUUGACUCACCAACCCCCAAAGAGACACGUGUCACACACUCGGCAGGCAACAUCAUACUCCACAGCAUUGGGUAGUAAUGAUGGAUUUCAUGGCAAGAGGUACUGCAGUUACAGGAGCUUAUUACGCUUUACAGCUACAUAAAUUGUGGAGGGCUAUCAAAAGUAAGAAGCGAGGAAUCUUGACCAAAGUCGUCUGCCUCGUACAAGGCAAUGCCCCUGUUCUGUGGGUACGACAUCCUUCCUCCUCCUCCUCCUUAAUCUCCUGACCUUGUUCAACCUGAUUUCCAUGUCUUUGCGUCCUUGGGUGUUUGAAAGGCAAACGUUUCCAAGAUGAUGAGACUAAUUUCUGAAGUUACUACAUGGCUUCAAAUGCAACCAGUACACCCAUGGUACGUGGUUCACGGGAAAUCCUUAAUGAGAGCUCCUCAUUUAUGUGUGUGUGUGUAUGUAAAUAUAUAUGUGUGUAUAUAUAUCCAUAUAUAUAUAUGCAUAUGUAUAAAU
Penaeus monodon (black tiger shrimp) is the source of this 1235-nucleotide long non-coding RNA. RefSeq lists it as uncharacterized. NCBI's taxonomy places the organism in Eukaryota, Metazoa, Arthropoda, Malacostraca, Decapoda, Penaeidae. The transcript has 3 exons. The record is from RefSeq and is a predicted model, not a curated record.